RNAcentral lists this ribosomal RNA (347 nucleotides) under uncultured bacterium. RNAcentral describes it as "partial 16S ribosomal RNA". It matches the Rfam family "Bacterial small subunit ribosomal RNA", at positions 338 to 682 of the family's 1533-position model. The record is from RNAcentral.
CCUACGGGUGGCAGCAGUGAGGAAUAUUGGUCAAUGGACGAGAGUCUGAACCAGCCAAGUAGCGUGAAGGAUGACUGCCCUAUGGGUUGUAAACUUCUUUUAUAUGGGAAUAAAACAGGGGAUGCAUACCCUCUUGUAUGGACCAUAUGAAUAAGGAUCGGCGAACACCGUGCCAGCAGCCGCGGUAAUACGGAGGGUGCGAGCGUUAAGCGGAAUUACUGGGCGGACAGCGCUCGUAGGCGGUCUGUCAAGUCAAGGGUGAAAUCCCCGCGCUCAACGUGGGAACUGCCUUUGAAACUGGCAAACUGGAGUGUUUGAUAGGUUAGUGGCAUUCCAGGUGUAGGGGU